RNAcentral lists this ribosomal RNA (705 nucleotides) under uncultured fungus. RNAcentral's name for it is "SSU rRNA". It matches the Rfam family "Eukaryotic small subunit ribosomal RNA", at positions 392 to 1098 of the family's 1831-position model. Lineage: Eukaryota; Fungi. The record is from RNAcentral.
GAGCCUGAGAAACGGCUACCACAUCCAAGGAUGGCAGCAGGCGCGCAAAUUACCCAAUCCCGACACGGGGAGGUAGUGACAAUAAAUAACAAUACGGGGUUCUUUAGGAUCUCGUAAUUGGAAUGAGUACAAUUUAAAUCUCUUAACGAGGAACAAUUGGAGGGCAAGUCUGGUGCCAGCAGCCGCGGUAAUUCCAGCUCCAAUAGCGUAUAUUAAAGUUGUUGCAGUUAAAAAGCUCGUAGUUGAAUUUCGGGGUUAGUAGGUUGGUCAUGCCUCUGGUAUGUACUGGUCUCACUGAUUCCUCCUUCCUUAUGAACCGUAAUGCCAUUAAUUUGGUGUUGCGGGGAAUUUGGACUGUUACUUUGAAAAAAUUAGAGUGUUUAAAGCAAGCUAACGCUUGAAUACAUUAGCAUGGAAUAAUGAAAUAGGACGUUCGAUCUUAUUUUGUUGGUUUCUAGGAUUGACGUAAUGAUUAAUAGGGAUAGUUGGGGGCAUUAGUAUUCAAUUGUCAGAGGUGAAAUUCUUGGAUUUAUUGAAGACUAACUACUGCGAAAGCAUUUGCCAAGGAUGUUUUCAUUAAUCAAGAACGAAAGUUAGGGGAUCGAAGACGAUCAGAUACCGUCGUAGUCUUAACCAUAAACUAUGCCGACUAGGGAUCGGAUGAUGUUAAUUUUUUAAUGACUCAUUCGGCGCCUUACGGGAAAC